UACAAUGCUUUUCUAAUUUUCUCAGUUGAUUGCUCAUCGGUGGAAUCUAUAAAUGCUGUUGGCAGACAAUGUGCCUUCUCUAAUGAAAUGUUGUAUAAAUUGCUGAUCCAUUAGUCGCUGUAUUAUCUUCUCAUUACCAAUCUUAUGCUGCUACAAUCAACAGUGGAACUCACCAGAAAGCUGACAAUUUCAUUUUUGUCAACAAUGUAAUAUAUAUGGAGCCCUAAAUUUGAUUGGACCUGCACUGUUCUAGCUUUUUCACCACUUCUGCAAGGAGUCCUCUAGAUUACUUCCACCAAUUAUCACCCAUCUCUACCCAUACAGAUUCUGCAUAGAGUCAUAGAGAUGUACAGCACAGGAACAGACACUUCAGUCCAAC
Chiloscyllium plagiosum (whitespotted bambooshark) is the source of this 379-nucleotide non-coding RNA. Lineage: Eukaryota; Metazoa; Chordata; Chondrichthyes; Orectolobiformes; Hemiscylliidae. The record is from RefSeq and is a predicted model, not a curated record.